CAACCUGCCUUCAGGAUGGGGACAACAGACGGAAACGACUGCUAAUACCGAAUAAGUUCCAAGAGCCGCAUGGCCCAUGGAAGAAAAGGUGGCCUCUACCUGUAAGCUAUCGCCUGAAGAGGGGUUUGCGUCUGAUUAGCUGGUUGGAGGGGUAACGGCCCACCAAGGCGACGAUCAGUAGCCGGUCUGAGAGGAUGAACGGCCACACUGGAACUGAGACACGGUCCAGACUCCUACGGGAGGCAGCAUG
This 250-nucleotide ribosomal RNA is filed under the name uncultured bacterium. RNAcentral's name for it is "partial 16S ribosomal RNA". It matches the Rfam family "Bacterial small subunit ribosomal RNA", at positions 122 to 353 of the family's 1533-position model. The record is from RNAcentral.